UACAGAGGGUGCGAGCGUUGUCCGGAAUCACUGGGCGUAAAGGGCGCGUAGGUGGUUUGGUAAGUGUGUGGUGAAAGCCCGGGGCUCAACCCCGGGUCUGCCGCGCAAACUGCCGAACUUGAGCAUACUAGAGGCAGGUAGAAUUCCGGGUGUAGCGGUGGAAUGCGUAGAGAUCCGGAAGAAGACCGGUGGCGAAGGCGGCCUGCUGGGGUAGAGCUGACACUGAGGCGCGACAGCGUGGGGAGCAAACAGG
RNAcentral lists this ribosomal RNA (253 nucleotides) under uncultured bacterium. Its description in RNAcentral is "partial 16S ribosomal RNA". It matches the Rfam family "Bacterial small subunit ribosomal RNA", at positions 524 to 776 of the family's 1533-position model. The record is from RNAcentral.